GUAGACAAAAUGUACACUUGAUAUCCAUAAUUUAUGGUACAAAUUGAUACAAAUUGAUAAUAGGUUAGGUAAAUGUUCCAUGAUAAUGGGUUAGGUAAAUGUUUCAUGAUAAUAGGUUAGGUAAAUGUUCCAUGAUAAUGGGUUAGGUAAAUGUUUCAUGAUAAUGGGUUAGGUAAAUGUUUCAUGAUAAGAAUAUGAUGUCUUUUGUAUUAAAGAACUAAAUGGAUGAAAUAUGAAGUUUUAUUAAAAGAAAAAAAAGGGGUGAAAAGAACAAAGUUUUGUCCAUCUUUGUUCAUCAUAGCUGAAAGUUAGAGAAGAGAAAGGAGAGGAGAAAGCUCUUGAGUAUUCGGUCAUUAGGAGGAGGAAAAUUGAAGGAAAUCCCCAACCAUAGUGGGCUUGGAGCUGUGAGGGAAUUCGGAGUGGCCACCCAUUCUGAAAGUUUGAUUUUCUUCUGGUGAACUGGACAUCCUUUUAUUUACGUUUGAAGUUUUGGGUUUUUAAAUGUAAUAAGGCCGCUUAAUUAUUUUUGAUGGUUUUAAUAUGUAUUACUAAGAUAGGUAUUACUUAUUUUAACUGUUGAAAUUGGAUAGCUUUAGAGCGCGUUUUCAAAAAAAUAACAAUUGAUUUCAAAAUAACACGACAACAA
Gossypium arboreum is the source of this 646-nucleotide long non-coding RNA. RefSeq lists it as uncharacterized. NCBI's taxonomy places the organism in Eukaryota, Viridiplantae, Streptophyta, Magnoliopsida, Malvales, Malvaceae. The record is from RefSeq and is a predicted model, not a curated record. The transcript is spliced from 2 exons.